GAUGAACGCUGGCGGCGUGCUUAACACAUGCAAGUCGAACGGACAGGCCCUGCUUUUGUGGGGUGCUCGGGUGGCGAACGGGUGAGUAACACGUGUGUAUCCUGCCCUUGUCUUUCUGAUAACUUCAGGAAACUGGGGCUCUUACCGGAUAGGAGCUCCUGCUGCAUGGUGGGGGUUGGAAAGUUUCGGCGGUUGGGGCUGGACUCGCGGCUUAUCAGCUUGUUAGUGGGGUAGUGGCUUACCAAGGUUUUGACGGGUAGCCGGCCUGAGAGGGGGACCAGCCACAUUGGGACUGAGGUACGGCGCAGACUCCUACGGGAGGCAGCAGUGGGGAAUAUUGCACAACAGGCGGAAGCCUGAGGCAACAACGCCGCGUGCGGGAUGACGGCCUUCGGGUUAUAAACCGCUUUCGCCUGUGACGAAGCGUGAGUGACGGUAAUGGGUAAAGAAGCACCGGCUAACUACGUG
Molecule: ribosomal RNA, 468 nt
Filed under: uncultured bacterium
Lineage: Bacteria
Description: partial 16S ribosomal RNA
Rfam family: Bacterial small subunit ribosomal RNA
Source: RNAcentral